CCUACGGGGGGCAGCAGUGGGGAAUAUUGCACAAUGGGGGAAACCCUGAUGCAGCAACGCCGCGUGAAGGAAGACGGUCUUCGGAGUGUAAACUUCUGUUCUUAGAGAAGAAGAAUGACGGGAGCGAAGGAGCAAGCCACGGCUAACUACGUGCCAGCAGCCGCGGUAAUCCGGAGGUGGCAAGCGUUGUCCGGAAUUACGGGGUGGAAAGGGAGCGCAGGCGGGAAGCCAAGUCAGCUGUGAAAACUACGGGCUUAACUUGUAGACUGCAGUUGAAACUGGUUUUCUUGAGUGAAGUAGAGGUUGGCGGAAUUCCGAGUGUAGCGGUGAAAUGCGUAGAUAUUCGGCGGAACACCGGUGGCGAAGGCGGCCCACUGGGCUUUAACUGACGCUGAGGCUCGAAAGUGUGGGUAGCAAACAGGAUUAGAUACCCCAGUAGUC
This 441-nucleotide ribosomal RNA is filed under the name uncultured bacterium. RNAcentral's name for it is "partial 16S ribosomal RNA". It matches the Rfam family "Bacterial small subunit ribosomal RNA", at positions 338 to 795 of the family's 1533-position model. The record is from RNAcentral.